ACAAAACUUUUUGCUUCAGGACCACCACAUAAUCCAAAAAAUAUAUAUGUAUUAAAACUUUGGCAGAAUGAUGGCGUAUUAACGCUGAUGUUGACUUUUGUUCAUAUGUGAUCAUUUCUCGGCCUUUGCGAUUGAAUCUUCUGGAAGAAAAAAAAGAAUUGAUUGGAGUUAUCCAAUCAACACAUCAUUAAACCAAGAGCGCAGUAUAAAACAGCAGAAAACCAAGAUAUGACCAAUGAAUGGAUGCGUGCGCAUGUGCUAAUAUAUCAUCGUCACAAUUGAGAACAGCGACCAUGGUGGAUCAGAAAUAUGCAUUCCUUUAACGGACAACAUCCAACUAUAUAUUCCACAAAAAUGAACGCAAAAAAAAAA
This is a long non-coding RNA of Contarinia nasturtii (swede midge), 372 nucleotides long. RefSeq lists it as uncharacterized. The record is from RefSeq and is a predicted model, not a curated record. The transcript has 3 exons. Lineage: Eukaryota; Metazoa; Arthropoda; Insecta; Diptera; Cecidomyiidae.